UUACCAAGUAAACCAGAAGAAUCAGAUCCACCAGCAGACACCAGCCCGAAAGAGGAUGCGACAGGACCGAAAGCUUUCUUACCCUUAGCUAGAAUACCUGGAUAUGAUGAACGAUGUAAUGUGCAAGUACCGACAACAAAAGAAAAAUGUAGAAGCACUCACGACGGAAAGAAGCAGCGUAAAGGGUGGUAUCUCGAUCCAGCAACAAGAAAGUGCCUACCAAGCUGCGACAAAAAUGCCCCCUUCCGAUACAAAAUUCACUGCAACGGAAUCUGUCGGACUGAAAGGGCUUGCCACUUUGAAGCAACAAGUUUUCCCUGUGGGUUUCGGGCUAUGCAUCCUAUAUUCGUUUAUAAUCGCGCGCAGAAGAAAUGUGUCAAAGCGUAUGACUGCGAUUACUAUGGAAACAAGUUCGUUACAUUGAAGGAAUGUCUAAAGACAUGCGU
This is a long non-coding RNA of Rhipicephalus microplus (southern cattle tick), 446 nucleotides long. The record is from RefSeq and is a predicted model, not a curated record. NCBI's taxonomy places the organism in Eukaryota, Metazoa, Arthropoda, Arachnida, Ixodida, Ixodidae.